GAUGAAGAACGCAGCGAAAUGCGAUAAGUAGUGUGAAUUGCAGAAUUCAGUGAAUCAUCGAACCUUUGAACGCACAUUGCGCCCCUUGGUAUUCCAUGGGGCAUGCCUGUUCGAGCGUCAUUUGUACCUUCAAGCUUUGCUUGGUGUUGGGUGUUUGUCCUGAGGGACUCGCCUUAAAGUAAUUGGCAGCCAGUGUUUGGUUUUGAAGCGCAGCACAAGUCGCGAUUCAAAGCUAUACGCCCGCUUCCACAAGCCUUUUUCACUUUUGACCUCGGAUCAGGUAGGGAUACCCGCUGAACUUAAGCAUAUCAAUAAGCGGAGGA
Molecule: unclassified non-coding RNA, 323 nt
Filed under: soil metagenome
Description: partial contains 5.8S ribosomal RNA, internal transcribed spacer 2, and large subunit ribosomal RNA
Rfam family: 5.8S ribosomal RNA (bases 1-120)
Source: RNAcentral